CCUACGGGAGGCAGCAGUGGGGAAUAUUGCACAAUGGGGGAAACCCUGAUGCAGCGACGCCGCGUGAGUGAAGAAGUAAUUCGUUACGUAAAGCUCUAUCAGCAGGGAAGAAACACUGACCUUACGGUCAGCAGACGGUACCUGAGUAAGAAGCCCCGGUUAACUACGUGCCAGCAGCCGCGGUAAUACGUAGGGGGCAAGCGUUAUCCGGAUUUACUGGGUGGAAAGGGAGCGUAGACGGUGCGGCAAGUCUGGAGUGAAAUGCCGCAGCUUAACUGCGGAACUGCUUUGGAAACUGGCGAACUAGAGUGCGGGAGGGGUAAGCGGAAUUCCUAGUGUAGCGGUGAAAUGCGUAGAUAUUAGGAGGAACACCGGUGGCGAAGGCGGCUUACUGGACCGUAACUGACGUUGAGGCUCGAAAGCGUGGGGAGCAAACAGGAUUAGAUACCCCAGUAGUC
RNAcentral lists this ribosomal RNA (458 nucleotides) under uncultured bacterium. Its description in RNAcentral is "partial 16S ribosomal RNA". It matches the Rfam family "Bacterial small subunit ribosomal RNA", at positions 338 to 795 of the family's 1533-position model. The record is from RNAcentral.